RNAcentral lists this transfer RNA (80 nucleotides) under Stegodyphus mimosarum. It matches the Rfam family "tRNA". Rfam says of the family: Transfer RNA (tRNA) molecules are approximately 80 nucleotides in length. Lineage: Eukaryota; Metazoa; Arthropoda; Arachnida; Araneae; Eresidae. The record is from Rfam by way of RNAcentral.
GCCUUCGUGGUGUAGUGGUCAGCACGCUCGACGAGUAACCGAGAGGCGAGAGGUCCGUGGUUCGAUUCCCGGCGAAGGCG